Molecule: ribosomal RNA, 250 nt
Filed under: uncultured prokaryote
Description: partial 16S ribosomal RNA
Rfam family: Bacterial small subunit ribosomal RNA
Source: RNAcentral
UACGUAGGGAGCAAGCGUUGUCCGGAUUUACUGGGUGUAAGGGGUGCGUAGGCGGCUAGGCAAGUCAGGUGUGAAAUGCAUGGGCUCAACCCAUGAGCUGCACUUGAAACUGUCAGGCUUGAGUGAAGUAGAGGCAGGCGGAAUUCCCUGUGUAGCGGUGAAAUGCGUUGUGAUAGGGAGGAACGCCAGUGGCGAAGGCGGCCUGCUGGGCUUUAACUGACGCUGAGGCACGAAAGCGUGGGUAGCAAAC